This 249-nucleotide ribosomal RNA is filed under the name Triticum aestivum (bread wheat). RNAcentral describes it as "partial small subunit ribosomal RNA". Lineage: Eukaryota; Viridiplantae; Streptophyta; Magnoliopsida; Poales; Poaceae. The record is from RNAcentral.
AUGGGUAGGUCGGAACAAACAAAUGUCAUAAGCUGGAACUGCCGGGGACUCGGGAAUGGCUUGGCAGUUCGUGGGCUCUUGGACCUCAAGAGGGCGGAGGAUCCCGAUGUUCUUUUCUUAUGUGAGACUAAAUUGUAUGAGAAGGAAAUGGAGCAAUAUAGGUGGAAGCUAGGGCUAGUCAAUAUGUGUGUGAGAAACCUGGAUGGCAGAAGUAGAGGCUUUGGCCAUUUUGUGGAGGAGGGGAGUUAA